GAUGAACGCUAGCUACAGGCUUAACACAUGCAAGUCGCGGGGCAGCAUGGGGGUUGCUUGCAACUGCCGAUGGCGACCGGCGCACGGGUGAGUAACGCGUAUCCAACCUGCCCUUCACCACGGGAUAACCCGGCGAAAGUCGGACUAAUACCGUAUUUUGUCCAUUCACGGUAUCCGAUUUGGACGAAAGGCUUUGCGGUGAAGGAGGGGGAUGCGUCCGAUUAGCCAGACGGCGGGGUAACGGGCCACCGUGGCUACGAUCGGUAGGGGUUCUGAGAGGAAGGUCCCCCACAAUGGAACUGCGACACGGACCAGAAUGCUACGGGGGGGAGCAGUGAGGAAUAUUGUUCGAUGGGCGUAAGCCUGAACCAGCCAAGUGGCGUGCAGAGGGACGGCGCUAUGGGUUGUAAGCUACUUUUAUGCGGGGAUUAAGUGGGCAACGUGUGGGCUUUUGCAGGUACCGCAUGAAUAAGGACCGGCUAAUUACGUG
Molecule: ribosomal RNA, 490 nt
Filed under: uncultured bacterium
Lineage: Bacteria
Description: partial 16S ribosomal RNA
Rfam family: Bacterial small subunit ribosomal RNA
Source: RNAcentral